This is a long non-coding RNA of Acanthochromis polyacanthus (spiny chromis), 871 nucleotides long. RefSeq lists it as uncharacterized. NCBI's taxonomy places the organism in Eukaryota, Metazoa, Chordata, Actinopteri, Pomacentridae. The record is from RefSeq and is a predicted model, not a curated record. The transcript is spliced from 3 exons.
UGUAGCAACUGAUCCUAUACUACAGCAGAGAGAGUGAGAGUGAAAGGGAGGAGGGACAUCAGGUGUCACAGCUCUGCAGCCCCUGUUGAGGCUGCAUUACCACGACAACCAGCUCCAGGGGUGCCACCAGCUCUCUGCCUUGCCAGCCCAGCACCCAGUCAUCCACCCAGCCAGCUAUCCAGCUAUCUACCCGUCCAUCCGCCCAGCCAGCAAGGCCAGCCCUGCCCAGAACUGGCAACCUGAAGGAGUCAUCAGGCUGCCACAGAUGUAGCGAAGAUUAGGCGAGAGAGGAAGAGGCUGAGCUGACUCUGUACCCCCGGGGAGGAUGCAAUGAGGUGGAACCACUUCUCUGCUUCCCCACGGAAAAAAAAAAAAUCACUUCCACCAUCAGAGCGCCAUCUGCUGACUCGGUGGGGCGGGACAGCUGGUGUUGUGAAUCAGGCCGCCACAGUCCAGGGACCGGCUACUUCCCAACACCAGGGUCUCACUGCCACUCCUCUCAUCUCACUGUUCUUUCUCCUCUAUAAUUCAUCUGCUGAAAUCUUAAACUGGUAUAUGUAACUCUCACAAUUAUUUAUAAAUAUCCUUUUUUGUAAUGCAAAGUCUAAUUAAUGGAGUGUAUGUUUCUGCCUUAUGUUCCUCUUAAAUAUGAAUCAGAAAAUGCGUAACAGAAAUGUACAGACUGUGUUUUUAUUUUACUUUGUGUUCCAGUGGAUGUAACAAGCAAAAUAGUUAAAUGGUUACACUGUAUUUUUCAGACUAAAUAAAUAAAAUGUGUGGCUUCCAAAUUGUAUUAAUGGUGCUAUUCUGCUAAAGACUUGCAAAAUGUCAAUAAAUCACAUGGAAGUUAAAUAAAGUUUGCAAAAAUGUG